This is a non-coding RNA of Macaca mulatta (Rhesus monkey), 446 nucleotides long. NCBI's taxonomy places the organism in Eukaryota, Metazoa, Chordata, Mammalia, Primates, Cercopithecidae. The record is from RefSeq and is a predicted model, not a curated record.
CCACCCCUUCCUCCAGGGCCUGCUCUGACUAUCCCGCGGGCCGGGAUAGUUUUUAUUACAGAAAUCCCUUUUAUUAGCGAUCUGUUUGGUUACAUGAUAUAUAAAUGCCUGACUUUGACAGCCUAUCUGCAACACCAUCUUAUAGGAUAAAACACAACUGUUUAAUUAGAAGUCCUAUUCCCAGGAAGGGAAAACUGGUUAAAUGGGAUCCUCUGACAUUCAGGUAAUUUUCCAAAUUACCUUGGGUUUGAGGAAACUGUUCCUCACUUGAACAUACCACUCCGUUGGCAUUCUGCUGUUAUUAUAAUACUGCCUUUGUCACUCGUCGCUAAGCUGGUCAGACAAAUAAUUCGAAGAAGUGGGGGUGCCAGGUGCAGUGGCUCACACCUGUAACCCCAGAACUUUGGGAGGCCAAGCCAGGCAGAUUGCUUGAGCCCAGAAUUUCA